Molecule: ribosomal RNA, 460 nt
Filed under: uncultured bacterium
Lineage: Bacteria
Description: partial 16S ribosomal RNA
Rfam family: Bacterial small subunit ribosomal RNA
Source: RNAcentral
ACUACGGGAGGCAGCAGUGAGGAAUAUUGGUCAAUGGACGAGAGUCUGAACCAGCCAAGUAGCGUGAAGGAUGACUGCCCUAUGGGUUGUAAACUUCUUUUAUCUGGGAAUAAAAUGUUCCACGUGUGGGAUUUUGUAUGUACCAUAUGAAUAAGGAUCGGCUAACUCCGUGCCAGCAGCCGCGGUAAUACGGAGGAUCCGAGCGUUAUCCGGCUUUGUUGGGUUUAAAGGGGGCGUAGGUGGAUUGUUAAGUCAGUUGUGAAAGUUUGCGGCUCAACCGUAAAAGUGCAGUUGAAACUGGCAGUCUUGAGGACAGUAGAGGUGGGCGGAAUUCGUGGUGUAGCGGUGAAAUGCUUAGAUAUCACGAAGAACUCCGAUUGCGAAGGCAGCUCACUGGACUGCAACUGACACUGAGGCUCGAAAGUGUGGGUAUCAAACAGGAUUAGAUACCCGUGUAGUC